GUCUCUUGCAUGGCGCAAUUGGUAGAGCAGUCGACUCCUAGUCUGUUGGUCAAGGGUUCGAUUCCCGUGGACG
Molecule: non-coding RNA, 73 nt
Organism: Ancylostoma duodenale
Lineage: Eukaryota; Metazoa; Nematoda; Chromadorea; Rhabditida; Ancylostomatidae
Source: the annotation of a GenBank genome assembly